UCCCGGGUGAUGUAAUUGGCAGCAUCUAGGGUUUUGGUCCCUAUCGUCCAGGUUCGAGUCCUGGCCCGGGAG
RNAcentral lists this transfer RNA (72 nucleotides) under Nocardiopsaceae bacterium. RNAcentral describes it as "tRNA-Gln". It matches the Rfam family "tRNA". Rfam says of the family: Transfer RNA (tRNA) molecules are approximately 80 nucleotides in length. Lineage: Bacteria; Bacillati; Actinomycetota; Actinomycetes; Streptosporangiales; Nocardiopsidaceae. The record is from RNAcentral.